AUAUAAAAAUUCAAAUUCUAAUCUAAAGAAAAGAAUAAUAUUAUUAUUUUUUAUUUAUAACUAUUCACUUUAAUUCUUAUUCUAUUUUACCUAACCAAACGUUAUUUUUCUUAUUUAUAGAAAUAACCCAAUUUUCAUCCAAACGCAAAAUUGAUCUAAUUCUCGCUUAUAUCUCAAUUUAUACCUAUCCCCGAAAUACCCACUUUUUGCUUAUCCUCGAACCAAACGAUACCUAAGUGUUUUUUUCUUGUAUAAAACUUUAAAGACUUUUUAUUUGAAUAAGAACACAUUUUGGUUUUUACACAUAUGCGCAUAAAAUUAUCUUUUGUACAUUAAAGCAUUAUUGUGCACUAAAGUGGGACUCUGAGUUGAACUUAUAAUACGUUCAUACGGUUGUAACUCAUAAAGUUAUUUAAUUAAAGAAUACGUGCUUUUGAUACAUGGAAGGGAGUGUUCAUCAUUUGGGACAUAACCGCUAUGAUCAAAGUAUUAUGAUUGCUUGGUCAAGUGGGCCGGAGAUUUCGACUGUAUAAUUUAGUUGGUAUCUAAUAAAGUUUUGUAUCGUCUAUACGGUAUGAAUAUUAUAUUAUUAGACCAAGUAGAAGAAUGUUGGAUGUGACCCAUGUGAUUUAUUCAAUACGAUCUAUAAAGAUACAGUCGGUUUAUUUAAGUUGAUCUAUAGAUAUGGUAGAUCUAACGGUUAGGAUGUAUCUGGACACAUUCUUGAUGGACAGACGUGAUUUAAUAUCCUUACAUUAAGUUGUAUAUAAAUAUAACAUAUGGAAGUCCCGAUCUAAUCCUAAUCCUAAUUCUUGUGACGGCUCCAUCUCCGGAGAUAAGGGAAUUAGACUCGAAACGUCCGUCUUUUUGCAGAUCACGAACGAGAACGAACCACGAGUAAGGAUUGCCAUCUGCAAUCCGGGUAUUGAAAUCGAAAUCAUGAUAGAAGGUACGAUUUUAGUUUCUUAUAAAGUUCUAACAUUUUCAACUACAGAAGUUAAAUAUAAAUACAUUAGAUUAAACAUCAAAUUUAAAUUUAAAAUAUAUAACUUAGUCUCAAAUAAUUUUAAAUAGUAUAAUUUAAUCUCAAACAAUAUAAUUUCUUUAAUUUUCAUUUUUUCCUCUAUUUUUCGGCCUUUUUUGCAGCGGCCAUAGUAUAUUAUGGCAUUACUAGGAGAAGAAAAAUAUGUGUUUCUUAUUUUUCUUAUGUUUUCUUUUUUCUACUUUUUUUAGCUACCCAUUGCAUUCCUUUUUUGCGACAUGCCUCCUUUCUCGCCUUCUGUUGCUGCAUUUGCCCCCACCUUGACGCGCUCCCAUUUCAUGUCAUCCUCAAAUUCUGUAGCAUUCUCAUUGUCGUCGCUGUUCAUGGCCACAUCGUCUGCCGCAAACUUAUUUCCGCGAUUUGUAUUAUAUUCGAGAUCGCGUCACUAUUGCCGGCAUCGGUGAAGAUGUGAACGAGGUAGGAAAAAGGAGCACGGCAUUGUCACGUAGGUGGUGGAGGAGGAGGAGGAGGAGAAGAAAAACAAAGCGGAGGGAGAAAAAGAGAAAAGAAUAGCGAAGAGGAGGAAGAGGAAGAGAGUGGAGACAUGCAAACGAGUGAGAAAAAAGAGAAAAAGAAAAAUAACAAUAUUUUAACCAAUUUACUAAAUAUUAAA
RNAcentral lists this long non-coding RNA (1655 nucleotides) under Ananas comosus (pineapple). RNAcentral's name for it is "long non-coding RNA (ACOM_LNC035781)". Lineage: Eukaryota; Viridiplantae; Streptophyta; Magnoliopsida; Poales; Bromeliaceae. The record is from RNAcentral.